AUUGAACGCUGGCGGCAUGCUUUACACAUGCAAGUCGAACGGUAACAGGCCGCAAGGUGCUGACGAGUGGCGAACGGGUGAGUAAUGCGUCGGAACGUGCCCAGUCGUGGGGGAUAACUACUCGAAAGAGUAGCUAAUACCGCAUACGAUCUAUGGAUGAAAGCGGGGGACCGUAAGGCCUCGCGCGAUUGGAGCGGCCGAUGUCAGAUUAGGUAGUUGGUGGGGUAAAGGCUCACCAAGCCAACGAUCUGUAGCUGGUCUGAGAGGACGACCAGCCACACUGUGACUGGGACACGGCCCAGACGCCUACGGGAGGCAGCAGUGGGGAAUUUUGGACAAUGGGCGCAAGCCUGAUCCAGCAAUGCCGCGUGCAGGAAGAAGGCCUUCGGGUUGUAAACUGCUUUUGUACGGAACGAAACGGCUCUGGUUAAUACCCGGGGCUAAUGACGGUACCGUAAGAAUAAGCACCGGCUAACUACGUG
Molecule: ribosomal RNA, 482 nt
Filed under: uncultured bacterium
Lineage: Bacteria
Description: partial 16S ribosomal RNA
Rfam family: Bacterial small subunit ribosomal RNA
Source: RNAcentral